This 253-nucleotide ribosomal RNA is filed under the name uncultured bacterium. RNAcentral's name for it is "partial 16S ribosomal RNA". It matches the Rfam family "Bacterial small subunit ribosomal RNA", at positions 524 to 776 of the family's 1533-position model. The record is from RNAcentral.
UACGGAGGGAGCUAGCGUUGUUCGGAAUUACUGGGCGUAAAGCGCACGUAGGCGGUUAUUCAAGUCAGAGGUGAAAGCCCGGGGCUUAACCCGGGAACUGCCUUUGAAACUAGAAGACUGGAAUCUUGGAGAGGGCAGUGGAAUUCCGAGUGUAGAGGUGAAAUUCGUAGAUAUUCGGAAGAACACCAGUGGCGAAGGCGGCUGACUGGACAAGGAUUGACGCUGAGGUGCGAAAGCGUGGGGAGCAAACAGG